GAUGAACGCUAGCGAAAUGCCUAACACAUGCAAGUCGAACGGUCUUGCGUCGUAGCAAUACGUAGUAAGAUUAGUGGCAAACGAGCGAGUAACGCGUGCUUAACUUGCCCCGAAGAUGGGUAUAACUGCAGAGAUGUAGCUAAUUCCCAAUAUGCUCACGAUGGUGAAAUUCCAAUGUGAGGAAAGAUUUAUCGCUUCGGGAGAGUGGUGCGUCCUAUCAGGUAGUUGGUAAGGUAACGGCUUACCAAGCCUAUGACGGGUAACCGGUCUGAGAUGAUGUCCGGUCGCGAUGGGACUGAGAUACGGCCCAUACUCCUACGGGAGGCAGCAGUGGGGAAUCUUGCACAAUGGACGAAAGUCUGAUGCAGCAAUUUCGCGUGAAGGAUGAAGCAUUACGGUGUGUAAACUUCUUUUUUGGCAGAAGACGAAUGACGGUAUGUCGAGAAUAAGAGACGGCUAACUACGUGCCAGCAGCCGCGGUAAUACGUAGGUCUCAAGCGUUGUUCGGAUUUACUGGGCGUAAAGUGUCCGUAGUCUGAAUUGUAAGUCUGUUUUCAAAUCCUACGACUCAAUCGUAGAAAGGGAGUGGAUACUGCAAUUCUAGAAGUAUCUGGGGGUUAGUGGAAUUUCCGGUGGAGCGGUGAAAUGCGUUGAUAUCGGAAGGAACGCCGAAAGCGAAAGCAGCUAACUACAGAAUACUUGACGAUGAGGGACGACAGUUGGGUAGCAAACAGGAUUAGAUACCCUGGUAGUCCGAACCGUAAAUUAUGCUUGCUAGAUGUUUUUGUCAAUUUAUUGGCGAGUGUCGUAAUCUAACGAGUUAAGCAAGUCGCCUGGGUAGUAUAUUCGCAAGAAUGAAACUCAAAGGGAUAGGCGGGGGAACACACAAGCAGUGGAUUAUCUAGAUUAAUUGGAUAAUAAGCCAAGAAUCUUACCUAGGAUUGACAUGUAUUGUGUCUGCGGUGAAAGUCGCAUAUCCGUAGCAAUACGGAGCUUUACACAGAUGGUGCAUGGU
This 1015-nucleotide ribosomal RNA is filed under the name candidate division SR1 bacterium taxon 345. Its description in RNAcentral is "bacterial SSU rRNA". It matches the Rfam family "Bacterial small subunit ribosomal RNA", at positions 28 to 1049 of the family's 1533-position model. Lineage: Bacteria; Candidatus Absconditibacteriota. The record is from RNAcentral.